CCCUUAGGUGUUCUGGGCCACACGCGCGUUACACUGAUGAAGCCAGCGAGUAUAUCGCCUUCACCGGAAGGUGCGGGUAAUCUUGUGAAACUUCAUCGUGCUGGGGAUAGACCAUUGCAAUUAUUGGUCUUGAACGAGGAAUUCCUAGUAAGCAUGAGUCAUCAACUCGUGCUGAUUACGUCCCUGCCCUUUGUACACACCGCCCGUCGCUACUACCGAUUGAAUGGUUUAGUGAGAUCUCGGGAUUGGAGACGUUGCGCCGCAAGGCACAUCGUCCUCGAGAACUUGAUCAAACUUGAUCAUUUAGAGGAAGUAAAAGUCGUAACA
This 327-nucleotide ribosomal RNA is filed under the name uncultured eukaryote. RNAcentral's name for it is "partial 18S ribosomal RNA". It matches the Rfam family "Eukaryotic small subunit ribosomal RNA", at positions 1470 to 1796 of the family's 1831-position model. The record is from RNAcentral.